This 704-nucleotide ribosomal RNA is filed under the name Trabulsiella odontotermitis. Its description in RNAcentral is "bacterial SSU rRNA". It matches the Rfam family "Bacterial small subunit ribosomal RNA", at positions 94 to 793 of the family's 1533-position model. The record is from RNAcentral. Lineage: Bacteria; Pseudomonadati; Pseudomonadota; Gammaproteobacteria; Enterobacterales; Enterobacteriaceae.
AGCGGCGGACGGGUGAGUAAUGUCUGGGAAACUGCCUGAUGGAGGGGGAUAACUACUGGAAACGGUAGCUAAUACCGCAUAACGUCUUCGGACCAAAGUGGGGGACCUUCGGGCCUCAUGCCAUCAGAUGUGCCCAGAUGGGAUUAGCUUGUUGGUGGGGUAACGGCUCACCAAGGCGACGAUCCCUAGCUGGUCUGAGAGGAUGACCAGCCACACUGGAACUGAGACACGGUCCAGACUCCUACGGGAGGCAGCAGUGGGGAAUAUUGCACAAUGGGCGCAAGCCUGAUGCAGCCAUGCCGCGUGUAUGAAGAAGGCCUUCGGGUUGUAAAGUACUUUCAGCGGGGAGGAAGGUGCUGUGGUUAAUAACCGCAGCAAUUGACGUUACCCGCAGAAGAAGCACCGGCUAACUCCGUGCCAGCAGCCGCGGUAAUACGGAGGGUGCAAGCGUUAAUCGGAAUUACUGGGCGUAAAGCGCACGCAGGCGGUCUGUCAAGUCGGAUGUGAAAUCCCCGGGCUCAACCUGGGAACUGCAUCCGAAACUGGCAGGCUUGAGUCUUGUAGAGGGGGGUAGAAUUCCAGGUGUAGCGGUGAAAUGCGUAGAGAUCUGGAGGAAUACCGGGUGGCGAAGGCGGCCCCCUGGACAAAGACUGACGCUCAGGUGCGAAAGCGUGGGAGCAAACAGGGAUUAGAUACCCUGGUAG